AUUGUCUCAGUGUGUAACAGAGCUCUACAUCAAUAAAACUCACAGUAAUGUAUCUUUAAAUUAUAAUAAAAGUGUUCAGAAAUCAGACUGUGUAAAUUAAUGUAAUUGUUCCUCCAAAUUACAUUUAAAAUGCCAAAAUUAUUAGUCACUUAAAAUGUUUCAGAACAGUCUCGCCCCUGGCCUCACCCCCACUUGCACUCCUAAAAUGAAAGUGUCCCUCCUGAAAUGUUGGCAGGUAUUGCCAAGGUUAAUGUAUAAAAGUUUCAAAUGAGAUCUGCACUUUUUGUAAGAGGACACACUUCACACAUAAAGCACUUCGACAACUGAAGUGCUAUAGGCGUUUAGGACAUUCUUUUAAGCAAACUUCCAUUUUUGGACUUGUUUACAAUCUUGUUGUUAAGUAGCUGCUAUAAACUAAGCCUGUAUAUGUUAGUGUAAGAAAUAUGAAAUAGUUUCC
This is a non-coding RNA of Pelobates cultripes (western spadefoot toad), 457 nucleotides long. NCBI's taxonomy places the organism in Eukaryota, Metazoa, Chordata, Amphibia, Anura, Pelobatidae. The record is from the annotation of a GenBank genome assembly.